CCCUCCCCACGGUGUGUCAGGAGGGAUGAGGCCUCUGUGAAGUCGCCUCUGCAUAGAAUGUCCUGCUCCCGCUUGCGAGGGGCCUCUAGAUGGGCGGGUGGAUGGAUGGAAGGAGGAAGGUGUAGAUGGGUGGGUGGAUGGAAGGAGGAAGGUGUAGACGGGUGGGUGGAUGGAAGGAAGGUGUAGACAGGUGGGUAGAUGGAAGGAGGAAGCUGUAGACGGGUGGUGGAUGGAUGGAAGAAGGAAGGUGUAGACGGGCAGUUGGAUGGGUGGAUGGAAGGAGGAAGGUGUAGACGGGCAGGUGGAUGGGUAGAUGGAAGGAGGAAGGAGUAGAUGGGUGAGUGGCUGGGUGGAUGGACAGACAGCAUGGAUAAAUGGGUGAGUAGACGGAUGGAUGGAUGAAUAGAAGGAAGAGGAGGUUGGAAGGGGUUGGCUGGACAGUGAUGAACAGACAGGUGGACAGAUGAGUGGAUGUGGUGGGCGUGUCUAUGUGGAGGAAUAGACACUUGGGUAGCAGGAUGGCGGGUAGACCAGAGGGCAGGCGGACGAGCGGAUGGAGCACAGGGGAGUCGGUGGGAGGAUGAAUACAAGUGGUGCUGUGAUGAGUGGGCACGCAGGCUUUGCAUUUGGACAGGCU
RNAcentral lists this long non-coding RNA (637 nucleotides) under Homo sapiens (human). RNAcentral describes it as "non-protein coding lnc-ARC-3:1". The record is from RNAcentral. Lineage: Eukaryota; Metazoa; Chordata; Mammalia; Primates; Hominidae.